This 208-nucleotide ribosomal RNA is filed under the name Clostridioides difficile. RNAcentral describes it as "partial 23S ribosomal RNA". It matches the Rfam family "Bacterial large subunit ribosomal RNA", at positions 1137 to 1353 of the family's 2925-position model. Lineage: Bacteria; Bacillati; Bacillota; Clostridia; Peptostreptococcales; Peptostreptococcaceae. The record is from RNAcentral.
AUAGCUCACUGGUCGAGUGAUCCUGCGCCGAAGAUUUCCGGGGCUAAAACUUACUACCGAAGCUACGGCAUCAGUAAUGAGGGGUAGGGGAGCUUCCCAUACGGGUUGAAGCAUGACCGUAAGGACAGGUGGACAGUAUGGGAGUGAGAAUGUUGGCAUGAGUAGCGAGAUGUGGGUGGGAAUCCCACAGGCCGUAAACCCAAGGUUU